Molecule: ribosomal RNA, 2105 nt
Filed under: Pseudomonas sp. GTC 16481
Lineage: Bacteria; Pseudomonadati; Pseudomonadota; Gammaproteobacteria; Pseudomonadales; Pseudomonadaceae
Description: bacterial LSU rRNA
Rfam family: Bacterial large subunit ribosomal RNA
Source: RNAcentral
UCAAGUGAAGAAGCGCAUACGGUGGAUGCCUUGGCAGUCAGAGGCGAUGAAAGACGUGGUAGCCUGCGAUAAGCUUUGGGGAGUCGGCAAACAGACUGUGAUCCAGAGAUCUCUGAAUGGGGGAACCCACUCAGCAUAAGCUGAGUAUCUUGUACUGAAUACAUAGGUGCAAGAGGCGAACCAGGGGAACUGAAACAUCUAAGUACCCUGAGGAAAAGAAAUCAACCGAGAUUCCCUUAGUAGUGGCGAGCGAACGGGGACCAGCCCUUAAGUUGAUUUGAGAUUAGUGGAACGCUCUGGAAAGUGCGGCCAUAGUGGGUGAUAGCCCCGUACACGAAAAUCUCUUAUCAAUGAAAUCGAGUAGGACGGAGCACGAGAAACUUUGUCUGAAUAUGGGGGGACCAUCCUCCAAGGCUAAAUACUACUGACUGACCGAUAGUGAACCAGUACCGUGAGGGAAAGGCGAAAAGAACCCCGGAGAGGGGAGUGAAAUAGAACCUGAAACCGUAUGCGUACAAGCAGUGGGAGCCUACUUUGUUAGGUGACUGCGUACCUUUUGUAUAAUGGGUCAGCGACUUAUAUUCAGUGGCGAGCUUAACCGAAUAGGGGAGGCGUAGCGAAAGCGAGUCUUAAUAGGGCGUUUAGUCGCUGGGUAUAGACCCGAAACCGGGCGAUCUAUCCAUGGGCAGGUUGAAGGUUAGGUAACACUGACUGGAGGACCGAACCGACUACCGUUGAAAAGUUAGCGGAUGACCUGUGGAUCGGAGUGAAAGGCUAAUCAAGCUCGGAGAUAGCUGGUUCUCCUCGAAAGCUAUUUAGGUAGCGCCUCAUGUAUCACUGUAGGGGGUAGAGCACUGUUUCGGCUAGGGGGUCAUCCCGACUUACCAAACCGAUGCAAACUCCGAAUACCUACAAGUGCCGAGCAUGGGAGACACACGGCGGGUGCUAACGUCCGUCGUGAAAAGGGAAACAACCCAGACCGUCAGCUAAGGUCCCAAAGUCAUGGUUAAGUGGGAAACGAUGUGGGAAGGCUUAGACAGCUAGGAGGUUGGCUUAGAAGCAGCCACCCUUUAAAGAAAGCGUAAUAGCUCACUAGUCGAGUCGGCCUGCGCGGAAGAUGUAACGGGGCUCAAACCAUGCACCGAAGCUACGGGUAUCACCUUUUGGUGAUGCGGUAGAGGAGCGUUCUGUAAGCCUGUGAAGGUGAGUUGAGAAGCUUGCUGGAGGUAUCAGAAGUGCGAAUGCUGACAUGAGUAACGACAAUGCGAGUGAAAAACUCGCACGCCGAAAGACCAAGGUUUCCUGCGCAACGUUAAUCGACGCAGGGUUAGUCGGUCCCUAAGGCGAGGCUGAAAAGCGUAGUCGAUGGAAAACAGGUUAAUAUUCCUGUACUUCCAGUUAUUGCGAUGGAGGGACGGAGAAGGUUAGGCCAGCCUGGCGUUGGUUGUCCAGGUUUAAGGUGGUAGGCUGAAAUCUUAGGCAAAUCCGGGAUUUCAAGGCCGAGAGCUGAUGACGAGUUGCCUUUAGGCGACGAAGUGGUUGAUACCAUGCUUCCAAGAAAAGCUCCUAAGCUUCAGAUAACUGGGAACCGUACCCCAAACCGACACAGGUGGUUAGGUAGAGAAUACCAAGGCGCUUGAGAGAACUCGGGUGAAGGAACUAGGCAAAAUGGCACCGUAACUUCGGGAGAAGGUGCGCCGGCGAGGGUGAAGGACUUGCUCCGUAAGCUCAUGCCGGUCGAAGAUACCAGGCCGCUGCGACUGUUUAUUAAAAACACAGCACUCUGCAAACACGAAAGUGGACGUAUAGGGUGUGACGCCUGCCCGGUGCCGGAAGGUUAAUUGAUGGGGUUAGCGCAAGCGAAGCUCUUGAUCGAAGCCCCGGUAAACGGCGGCCGUAACUAUAACGGUCCUAAGGUAGCGAAAUUCCUUGUCGGGUAAGUUCCGACCUGCACGAAUGGCGUAACGAUGGCGGCGCUGUCUCCACCCGAGACUCAGUGAAAUUGAAAUCGCUGUGAAGAUGCAGUGUAUCCGCGGCUAGACGGAAAGACCCCGUGAACCUUUACUAUAGCUUUGCACUGGACUUUGAAUUUGCUUGUGUAGGAU